CCAUGGAGAUGGCAUCUCUCAAAAGAGUUCCUUUUGUAGCUUGUGGAGCUUCAGAUUGAUAAUUCUGCCAUUUUCAUUUCAUUUCCUGAAAGUCAGGGUUGGCUCGUGAAAAGUUGUUAAACAACAUGCUAAAUGUGAAAUGUCAACCCUCACUCUAAACUUUCCCUGUUCAGAGCAUCAAAUGAAGACUUAUAGAUCGGAAGAGCG
Molecule: long non-coding RNA, 207 nt
Organism: Suricata suricatta (meerkat)
Lineage: Eukaryota; Metazoa; Chordata; Mammalia; Carnivora; Herpestidae
Exons: 3
Source: RefSeq, a predicted model, not a curated record